UUUACUUCCAUGAGCAAGCCAUCUCCAUAUCUUGCUGCCAUGUUCCUUUGCAACCCCUACUUUUUUCCAAUUCCUUUUGAUGUGUUGUUCUCCCUGCAACCCCAUUAGACUAUAAAUUCUUUGAGGUCAGAGUCUGUCUGGUUUAUUUGUUUUUGUGUCUUUUUCACUUAGUACAGUAAGUGCUGAUAUAUAGUUUUCCUCCUCCUCCUCCUCUUCCUCCUCCUCCUCCUUCUUUCUUUCUUUCUUUCUUUCUUUCUUUCUUUCUUUCUUUCUUUCUUUCUUUCUUUCUUUCUUUCUUUCUUUCUUUCUUUCUUUCUUUCUUUCUUUCUUUCUUUCUUUCUUUCUUUCUUUCUUUCUUUCUUUCUUUCUUUCUUUCCUUCUUUCCUUCUUUCCUUCUUUCCUUCUUUCCUUCUUUCCUUCUUUCUUUCUUUCUUUCUUUCUUUCUUUCUUUCUUUCUUUCUUUCUUUCUUUCUUUCUUUCUUUCUUUCUUUCUUUCUUUCUUUCUUCUUUCUCUCUCUCUCUUUCUUUCUUUCUUUCUUUCUUUCUUUCUUUCUUUCUUUCUUUCUUUCUUUCUUUCUUUCUUUCUUUCUUUCUUUCUUUCUUUCUUUCUUUCUUGUGAGUUAGGGGAUAUUUCCAAAGGGGUCAUUGCAUA
This 652-nucleotide long non-coding RNA is filed under the name Monodelphis domestica (gray short-tailed opossum). RNAcentral describes it as "lncRNA (ENSMODG00000044163.1)". Lineage: Eukaryota; Metazoa; Chordata; Mammalia; Didelphimorphia; Didelphidae. The record is from RNAcentral.